CUUCAAUAUAAAUGUGUAAAAUAUUGGUAGACAUAUGAAUAAAAUAAUGUGUAAAUAUUUGAUAUAACUCAUUUACUCAAAUAAUAACAUGAUUAUAUUUUCCAUUAUAAAUUAAUUCAUGUCAGUUAAGGUUAAGAUUCUUUACUCAUUUACUCAAAUAACAACAUGAUUAUAUUUUCCAUUAUAAAUUAAUUUGUAGGUUUUUGUCAUUAAAAUUCAAAUUUGGACAUGAUUAUCUUCUUUUUGUUUUUUAAGAAUAAGUAGAUACAUAAUGUUUCAUUUAUCAAAUUUAUAUAAAUUUAGAACUUCAAUAGCAUAAAUGUGUAAAAUAUUGGUAGACAUAUGUAUAAAAUAAUGUGUAAAUAUUUUAUAUAAAUUUGGUUAAAUUUGUAGAUAGUAAUCAAGUUAUUGGAUAUCCCGUUUAUUUUAUGUGAUGGAUUAGAGUCUCAAUGUUUUGAAACAAUCGUUAGAUAGGUCAUGUUUGAGUCGAUUUAAAUUUGACACGAUACAAAGCUGACACAAUACGAACACGAUCAUAUGACCCAUUUUACCAACUAUGUAAGAAAGCAUUAACUUCAUUGCUAAAUUCAAGUUUGUUUCUUUUUUUCCGUAAUUUAUAACUUAUUAAUUACCUGAAAUUAAUAACAUAAAUUUGUUGUCGUGCAAUAAUGGCACAAGCUGCCUUAUCACCCGGGACAAUCAAUUUGUCUAUUCUAAUGCUUUAACAACCGUAGUACCAUAAUUUCACAUUAUCAACUUAAAUUCCACAGAUACGUGUGUCGAUUCCAGACUUGGAAAUUUUGGUGGGUGCACAAUCCAUCAAAUUAAUGAUGGACUUUGAUGCCUGAGGUUGAGGAGAAAAUUAAAUCUAAUUAAUUUGAAAUGUUUGUUGCACAAUAAUAAUAACUCGUUUGGCGCUGCAGGGCUUAAAAAGGGUGAGCAAAAAUUUUAAUCCAAAGUAAAUUAUUUUCUGGUUCAGUUC
This 982-nucleotide long non-coding RNA is filed under the name Citrus x clementina. RNAcentral describes it as "Citrus clementina (C. clementina) long non-coding RNA (CCLE_LNC000737)". The record is from RNAcentral. Lineage: Eukaryota; Viridiplantae; Streptophyta; Magnoliopsida; Sapindales; Rutaceae.